This 375-nucleotide ribosomal RNA is filed under the name uncultured bacterium. RNAcentral's name for it is "bacterial SSU rRNA". It matches the Rfam family "Bacterial small subunit ribosomal RNA", at positions 521 to 896 of the family's 1533-position model. The record is from RNAcentral.
UAAGACGAACCGUGCGAACGUUGUUCGGAAUCACUGGGCUUAAAGGGCGCGUAGGCGGGCGAUAAAGUCAGGGGUGAAAUCUUUCGGCUUAACCGGAAAAUGGCCCCUGAUACUGAUUGUCUCGAGGGAGGUAGGGGUCUGUGGAACUUCUGGUGGAGCGGUGAAAUGCGUUGAUAUCAGAAGGAACGCCGGUGGCGAAAGCGACGGACUGGACCUCUUCUGACGCUGAGGCGCGAAAGCUAGGGGAGCGAACGGGAUUAGAUACCCCGGUAGUCCUAGCCCUAAACGAUGGGUACUAGGUUGUAGACUUCCAUGGGUUUACAGCCGAAGCAAAAGUGGUAAGUACCCCGCCUGGGGAGUAUGGUCGCAAGGCUG